RNAcentral lists this ribosomal RNA (253 nucleotides) under uncultured bacterium. RNAcentral describes it as "partial 16S ribosomal RNA". It matches the Rfam family "Bacterial small subunit ribosomal RNA", at positions 524 to 776 of the family's 1533-position model. The record is from RNAcentral.
UACAGAGGAGCCAAGCGUUGUCCGGAUUGACUGGGCGUAAAGCGCACGCAGGCGGAUGCGCGCGUGGGGUGUGAAAUCUGGCCGCUCAACGGCCAGGCGCCAUCCCAUACGGCGCGUCUGGAGUGAUGCAGAGGUCGGUGGAAUUGCCGGUGUAGUGGUGAAAUGCGUAGAGAUCGGCAGGAACACCCAGGGGGAAACCAGCCGACUGGGCAUCUACUGACGCUGAGGUGCGAGAGCGUGGGGAGCGAACCGG